UAGUGAGGUGGCGAACGGGUGAGUAACACGUGAGUAACCUGCCCUCUUCUUUGGAUAACGCCCGGAAACGGGUGCUAAUACUGGAUAUUCACUGGCCUUCGCAUGGGGGUUGGUGGAAAGGUUUGUUCUGGUGGGGGAUGGGCUCGCGGCCUAUCAGCUUGUUGGUGGGGUGAUGGCCUACCAAGGCUUUGACGGGUAGCCGGCCUGAGAGGGUGACCGGUCACAUUGGGACUGAGAUACGGCCCAG
Molecule: ribosomal RNA, 247 nt
Filed under: uncultured bacterium
Lineage: Bacteria
Description: partial 16S ribosomal RNA
Rfam family: Bacterial small subunit ribosomal RNA
Source: RNAcentral